UGGGGAAUCUUGGACAAUGGGGGCAACCCUGAUCCAGCCAUGCCGCGUGGGUGAAGAAGGCCUUAGGGUUGUAAAGCCCUUUCAGUCGUGACGAUGAUGACGGUAGCGACAGAAGAAGCCCCGGCUAACUCCGUGCCAGCAGCCGCGGUAAUACGGAGGGGGCUAGCGUUGUUCGGAAUUACUGGGCGUAAAGCGCGCGUAGGCGGACUUUCAAGUCAGGGGUGAAAUCCCGAGGCUCAACCUCGGAACUGCCUUUGAUACUGAUGGUCUUGAGUCCGAGAGAGGUGAGUGGAAUUCCUAGUGUAGAGGUGAAAUUCGUAGAUAUUAGGAAGAACACCAGUGGCGAAGGCGGCUCACUGGCUCGGUACUGACGCUGAGGCGCGAAAGCGUGGGGAGCAAACAGGAUUAGAUACCCGUGUAGUCC
RNAcentral lists this ribosomal RNA (424 nucleotides) under uncultured prokaryote. RNAcentral's name for it is "bacterial SSU rRNA". It matches the Rfam family "Bacterial small subunit ribosomal RNA", at positions 355 to 796 of the family's 1533-position model. The record is from RNAcentral.